Molecule: ribosomal RNA, 1932 nt
Filed under: Encotyllabe chironemi
Lineage: Eukaryota; Metazoa; Platyhelminthes; Monogenea; Capsalidea; Capsalidae
Description: SSU rRNA
Rfam family: Eukaryotic small subunit ribosomal RNA
Source: RNAcentral
UAGUCAUAUGCUUGUCUCAAAGAUUAAGCCAUGCAAGUGCCUGUUCAAACCUUCCUAUGGUAAAACCGCGAAAAGCUCAUUAAAUCAGAUGUGGUUCAUUGGAUCAUACUUAAAUACUACAGGGAUACCUGUAGUAAUUCUAGAGCUAAUACGUGCCUCGAUGCCGUGAUUCGCAAGAUGAGCGGUGCAAUUAUUAGAUCGCAAGCCAAUAUGGAGAAAUCUGUAUACUUGUGAUGACUCUGGAUAAUUUUGUAUGAUCGCAGUCGGCUUCGGUCGGCGAUGGAUCCAUCAAACGUCUGCCCUAUCAACUAAUGAUGGUAGGUGAUAUGCCUACCAUGGUUAUGACGGGUAACGGGGAAUCAGGGUUCGAUUCCGGAGAGGGAGCCUGAGAAACGGCUACCACAUCCAAGGAAGGCAGCAGGCACGCAAAUUACCCACUCUUGGCAAGAAGGAGGUAGUAAAGACAAAUAUCGAUGCGGAACUCAUUCGAGGCUCUGCAAUCGAAAUGAAAGCAAUAUAAAUCCUUCAUUAAGGACCUAUUGGAGGGCAAGUCUGGUGCCAGCAGCCGCGGUAACUCCAGCUCCAAUAGCGUAUAUUAAAAUUGCUGCAGUUAAAAAGCUCGUAGUUGGAUCUGGACAAUGACCUGAAAGCUGGCUUUGGUUAGACUGCGUUUGUGGUUUGACUGAGGUUAGUUAUUAGGGUCAUGUCUCGUAGCUGUGUCUAUUCACUGGUUUGCGCCAGUGUUUAGAUGAUGUUGGGUGAUGCUACUUCUCCUGCAAGGGAGGGGUGCUAACUCGAUGUCAUGUUAAGCAAUGCUCUUCAUUGAGUGUUCUUGACGGACAGCACGUUUACUUUGAACAAAUUCGAGUGCUCAAAGCGGACACCCUGUGUCUGAAAAGUCUUGCAUGGAAUAAUGAAAUAGGACUUCGGUUCUAUUUCGUUGGUUUGAUAGACCCGAAGUAAUGAUAAAUAGAGACUGACGGGGGCAUUUGUAUGGCAGCGCGAGAGGUGAAAUUCAUGGACCGUUGCCAGACAACUAAAGCGAAAGCAUCUGCCAAGUAUGUUUUCAUUUACCAGGAGCGAAAGUCAGAGGUUCGAAGACGAUUAGAUACCGUCCUAGUUCUGACCAUAAACGAUGCCAUCUGAUAAUCCGUGGUCUCUCCAUCACGUGGGACCACGGGCAGUCCCCGGGAAACCUGUAAGUUUAUGGGUUCCGGGGAAAGUAUGGUUGCAAAGCUGAAACUUAAAGGAAUUGACGGAAGGGCACCACCAGGAGUGGAGCUUGCGGCUUAAUUUGACUCAACACGGGAAAACUCACCCGGUCCGGACACUAUGUGGAUUGACAGAUUGAUAGCUCUUUCAUGAUUCGGUGGUUAGUGGUGCAUGGCCGUUCUUAGUUCGUGGUAUGAAUUGUCUGGUUAAUUCCGUUAACGAACGAGACUCCACCCUGCUAAUUAGUGCGCAGAUCAGCUUAUUUGGUUUCUGUUAAGUGUCCGUAAGGGCGCUUUAGAGUCAUUUAAGUCUGUGAUGCUACUUAGAGGCACAGGUGGAUAAGCCAAAACCACAUGAAAAGGAGCAAUAACAGGUCUGUGAUGCCCUUAGAUGUCCGGGGCCGCACGCGUGCUACAAUGAUAGUGAUAGAGAGUCUGCUCGUCUUGCCCGAAAGGGUUGGGUAAACUUUUCAAUCACUACCAUGACUGGGAUCGGGAUUUGUAAUUAUCUCCCGUGAACCAGGAAUUCCUAGUAAGCACAAGUCAUAAGCUUGUGCUGAAUACGUCCCUGCCCUUUGUACACACCGCCCGUCGCUACUACCGAUUGAAUGGUUUAGCAAGGCCAAUGGAUUGCUGCUCUGUUUACGAAAGUGGCAGAGUGGUGAGAAGCUGGCCGAACUUGAUCAUUUAGAGGAAGUACAAGUCGUAACAAGGUUUCCGU